This 460-nucleotide unclassified non-coding RNA is filed under the name Hevea brasiliensis (rubber tree). The record is from RNAcentral. Lineage: Eukaryota; Viridiplantae; Streptophyta; Magnoliopsida; Malpighiales; Euphorbiaceae.
AAAUCACAAUAUUAACUGUUGUAUGAAAAAAUUCAUGUCUGAUGGAACAUUGGUUCUCAAAACAGAAAGUCCUACUAGGGCACAUGAGUGCUCUGGACAUAAAUCAUUCUCUAUAGCAGCAGGAUAAGGGAAGCUGGGGAGUCAGUCUGCCAUCUCUUUCUCCACUGGAACUUCGUCUCAAAACGUAUCCUUACCAAUGCAAUAUCCAACCUAAUCUUGCUUGUCUCCUGGUCUGUACUCGGAGCUUUCAGCUGCCGAACUAGCGACUUCGUCAACCUGGUCUCGAGUACCAACCCGUAGAGGUUCCUCUUUGCCAAUGCUUUGAAUAAGCAUUAGCAUUGCAACCAAAAACACAAUUAUGUACACAGUUCUGAUGCCAAUUAGCGAAUUGAUAAAGCCCAUAAAUGAUGGACCACUGACUUUUUUCACUAUCGUUUGUCCUUUUCUGUAUCCUUCAACA